GAGGAAUAAAUUUCAGAUCUGCAUUUAUGACCCUAAAUGCUGGGUCAAGAACUUUACUUAAUUUGAUGUAGUUAUGUAAUGCAAAUGCAACAUAGAUGAUUCUAUUUUGAUUUUGAGACAAAUAUAUUAGCAUUUUUGCUAAAAUAUUUUACCGCGCCUUUAAAAUGCUAAAGGCCCUCUAAAUAUAAUUUCUUAAGAAUGAAUGGGCUCAAUUGAAAAUUUCUUACGGUAAUGUUGAUUUUUGUAGAUUCACAAUGGAGGGUUUGUUUUAU
RNAcentral lists this long non-coding RNA (272 nucleotides) under Gossypium barbadense (sea-island cotton). Its description in RNAcentral is "long non-coding RNA (GBAR_LNC020815)". Lineage: Eukaryota; Viridiplantae; Streptophyta; Magnoliopsida; Malvales; Malvaceae. The record is from RNAcentral.